AGAAAAGCGCUUCAGUAGCGAGAGGGGCUGGGAAAGUGGUGAUACCGUCGGGGUGCGGAGGGAGUCCCUGAAACUUCUCCCAACAGCCCCAGGGCCAAUCUCCCCUCAGCCCACUCCCCUCUUCGCCAGCUCCCAGGUUCCCCACUCCCUGCACCGGGGGUGGGGUGGGGAGCCAGGCCCGUCUCCCGCUGGGACACACACAGGGGCCGGGAGCGGGGACGGGACCCCCGAGGCAGGGGGGGGAACAGACCGACAGACAGACGGCCAGGCGCCCGCCCCAGCAGGCAGGCAGGCAGGAGGAGGCGGAGGCGGGGGUACGACCGGGAGAACUGGGUCUGGGGAGUUUCCUUUCAACUACCGGGGGAGAAACUCCCCGUAGCCGGAGGAGAGACCAGACGGUGUUUUCCUCCCGGGGGCCGCGCUCCCCCGGCCCGCGUAGCGGCGGCCGCCGCCGCCACCGGCUCCUCCACCUCUGCCAUCUCUUUCUCCAACACCUCGGGCCCCGGUGUCCCCGGCCAGCACUAUGCCCAUCUUACUGUUCCUGAUAGACACGUCUGCCUCUAUGAACCAGCGCAGCCAUCUGGGCACCACCUACCUGGACACGGCCAAAGGCGCGGUAGAGACCUUCAUGAAGCUGCGUGCCCGGGAUCCCGCCAGCCGAGGAGACAGGUACAUGCUGGUGACUUUCGAAGAGCCGCCCUAUGCCAUCAAGGCCGGGUGGAAAGAAAAUCAUGCCACGUUUAUGAAUGAACUGAAAAAUCUUCAGGCUGAAGGACUCACGACUCUUGGCCAAUCCCUAAGGACAGCUUUUGAUUUAUUAAAUUUAAAUAGAUUAGUAACUGGCAUAGACAACUAUGGGCAGGGAAGAAACCCUUUUUUCUUGGAACCAGCAAUAAUUAUUACAAUUACUGAUGGGAGCAAGUUGACUACUACCAGUGGAGUUCAGGAUGAGCUCCAUUUACCUCUUAAUUCUCCUUUGCCUGGAAGUGAACUGACCAAGGAACCUUUUCGGUGGGAUCAGAGACUCUUUGCAUUAGUGUUGCGGUUGCCUGGCACCAUGUCUGUAGAAUCAGAACAGUUGACAGGUGUGCCUUUAGAUGAUUCUGCAAUCACACCAAUGUGUGAAGUAACAGGCGGUCGCUCAUAUUCAGUAUGUUCUCCAAGAAUGCUUAACCAGUGUCUAGAGUCAUUGGUGCAGAAAGUGCAGAGUGGUGUGGUAAUAAACUUUGAAAAAGCAGGACCAGAUCCCUCCCCUGUAGAAGAUGGACAGCCAGAUAUAUCUAGGCCAUUUGGAUCACAGCCUUGGCAUAGCUGUCACAAACUCAUUUAUGUCAGACCAAAUCCUAAAACUGGGGUUCCUAUUGGUCAUUGGCCUGUUCCAGAAUCAUUUUGGCCAGAUCAAAAUUCUCCAACACUACCACCUCGAACUUCUCAUCCUGUAGUGAAGUUUUCCUGUACAGACUGUGAACCAAUGGUGAUUGACAAAUUGCCUUUUGACAAAUAUGAAUUGGAGCCAUCACCACUGACUCAAUUUAUCUUGGAAAGGAAAUCUCCUCAAACAUGUUGGCAGGUAUAUGUGAGCAAUAGUGCAAAAUACAAUGAACUUGGCUAUCCCUUUGGUUACUUGAAAGCCAGUACAGCAUUGAACUGUGUCAACUUAUUUGUGAUGCCUUAUAAUUACCCAGUCCUCCUUCCCCUUUUAGAUGACUUGUUUAAAGUACAUAAAGCAAAACCAACACUGAAAUGGAGACAGUCAUUCGAAAGUUAUUUGAAGACAAUGCCACCUUACUAUCUUGGGCCUUUGAAGAAAGCUGUCAGAAUGAUGGGAGCACCUAACCUAAUAGCAGACAGUAUGGAAUAUGGACUUAGUUACAGUGUCAUUUCAUACCUCAAAAAACUGAGUCAACAGGCCAAAAUAGAAUCUGAUCGAGUCAUUGGAUCUGUAGGUAAAAAAGUGGUACAGGAAACUGGAAUUAAAGUCCGAAGUCGGUCACAUGGUUUAUCGAUGGCAUACAGGAAAGAUUUUCAGCAGCUGCUCCAGGGAAUUACAGAGGAUGUCCCUCAUAGACUGCUAGACCUUAAUAUGAAAGAAUAUACUGGAUUCCAAGUUGCUUUGCUCAAUAAGGAUUUAAAGCCACAGACAUUUAGAAAUGCAUAUGAUAUACCAAGACGGAAUCUUUUGGAUCACUUAACAAGAAUGAGAUCUAACCUUUUGAAGAGUACUCGUAGAUUUCUUAAAGGACAGGAUGAAGAUCAAGUGCACAGUGUUCCUAUAGCACAAAUGGGUAAUUACCAGGAAUACCUCAAGCAAGUACCUUCUCCACUAAGAGAACUUGAUCCUGACCAGCCUCGAAGGUUGCACACAUUUGGUAAUCCUUUUAAGCUGGAUAAAAAGGGCAUGAUGAUAGAUGAAGCAGAUGAAUUUGUGGCUGGGCCUCAAAAUAAACAUAAACGACCUGGAGAACCAAACAUGCAAGGGAUCCCUAAGAGACGGCGCUGUAUGUCUCCACUGCUAAGGGGCAGACAGCAAAAUCCAGUAGUGAACAAUCAUAUUGGAGGAAAAGGACCACCUGUACCUGUGACCCAAGUCCAGACAGAUCUUAUUAAACCCCUUCCUCUUCAUAAAAUGUCAGAAGCCACUAAUGAUUCAACAAUAGAUGAUAUAGUUGAAAAUCAUGUUGCAGAUCAACUUUCAGCAGAGAUUACACCAAAUGCUAUGGAUACUGAGUUUUCAACAUCUGCCAAUUUACUGGAACGACCAACAAACCAUACAGAGGCUCUUGGACAUGACCAUUUAGGAAACAAUGCCCUUACUGUUGGUGGAUUUUUAGAAAAUCAUGAGGAACCAAGAGAUAAAGAACAGUGUCCUGAAGAAAAUAUACCAGCAUCUUCACUCAACAAAGGAAAGAAAUUGAUGCAUUGCAGAAGUCAUGAAGAGGUCAACACAGAACUAAAAGCACAAAUAAUGAAAGAGAUCCGAAAGCCAGGAAGAAAAUAUGAAAGAAUCUUCACUUUACUGAAACAUGUGCAAGGCAGUUUGCAAACAAGAUUAAUAUUUUUACAAAAUGUCAUUAAAGAAGCAUCAAGGUUUAAAAAACGAAUGCUAAUAGAACAACUGGAAAACUUCUUGGAUGAAAUUCAUCGAAGAGCCAAUCAGAUCAACCAUAUUAAUAGCAAUUAAAGAGAACAGAAAGUGGCCACUUAUUUCACUAUCUUCUCCAAAUACAAAAUAAGAAAACUGAAGCCUAAAGAGUUGAAGAAACUUUCCCAAGAGGAUGUAAUGAGUGCAUGGUGGUGGUCAACCAAACCAAGGCCUGUGAAAGCAGAGCCAAUGGCCUUGUUGCCUACACUUCGCAUCUCAUGUGGUCUCACACAAGAUCAUUCCUCAGUGGUUUGCAAGUUCUAAAGGCAAAUCCAACCAUAAUGGAGCACUUACAGUAGAGUUGGGCAUAUGUCUCCUCUGAUACCAGCUGCUCCAGGAUGAAGUCAGAAUUCUGUCUCCUAAAUACAUAAAGGUGGUGGCAGACUCCUGCACCAGGUUAAUUUUCACUCAACUUUCAACUCCAAAAGCUCUUUUUCCUUCCCUGAGCUCAAGUAGAAAGGAAGAUUAUGGUUCUGUUCCAUGCCAGAGAAAGCUGUUGAAAUGUCCAGAUUUUGUUCUUUGAUAAGGGAUCUAAAUAUUUGGUAUGAACAGAUAGACUAUAUCAUAGAGUUCAGUUCAUUUUCUGCCCUGGUUCAGACACAUUUCAUUUUAAACCUUGGCCCAAGGUUACUGGGCCUGUCUUUGUGUGUUUUUAUUGCAGUGCUUGGGACUUAUUAUUAUUUUACCUCAUCAAGGAAGCAAGCACUUCAAAAACCUCUGCCACAGUGCUACUGAGAACCUGCUCAGAGGAGGCGGCCAGCCAAAGGGAAGGAGCACUGAGGAUCCACCAGCUGAAAAUGAGUCCUGGACCUACCCUUCUAACUCAAAGAUAACCUCCAAACUAAUUAUAAGUUUCAUGUAAUUUCAAAUGUACUGGAGAAACUAAUCAUUUUAAGCAUGCUCUAUGAAGAAUCCUUUACAAAUUAGUAAAUUUGGUAAAUAUAUUUUGGUUUGGAAAAACA
Erinaceus europaeus (western European hedgehog) is the source of this 4104-nucleotide RNA transcript. It is a transcript of the gene named integrator complex subunit 6, with no coding region annotated. The transcript is spliced from 20 exons. Lineage: Eukaryota; Metazoa; Chordata; Mammalia; Eulipotyphla; Erinaceidae. The record is from RefSeq and is a predicted model, not a curated record.